CCUUAACUAAGAAUCCAUUCUAUACAGGGUACUGGAUUGUAUGCCAGGAGGGCAAAGAUGAAAAAUGACCCAAUUCCUGCCCUGGAGCUUCGAAGAGAUGAGGAAACUGAGGCAAACAGGGCUAAGGGGCUUGCCCAGAGUCACAAGUGUCUGAACCUGGAGUUGAACGCAGACUUUCCAAAGGAUACCCCAACACUGAUGAGACAGAUAGACAGCGUCAUGGAAACAAGGAACGUGAAUUCAGCCAGACUUUGAGAGAUGGUGGAGGAUGGUGGUGGAGGACCAUUGCUAUGGUCCAUGGGAUCAUGAAGAGCUGGACGUGGCUGAACAACAGAACCACAACACUCCAACACAAGUCUAAAGUGCUCAUAAAAAUAUAUUGUUGAACUAUUUUUUUUUUUUGCUCGUCACUUUCCUAGAUGAGUUUGAAGGAGAAAAAAAAUAAACAGAUAGCUAUCUUCAGAAGAAAUCAAACCUUUUUCCUCAGGAAAGUGAAUCCAUCUGUAACCUCCAGUUUCUGUCAAGACGAGAUAAAGCUCUCUAUUGUGACAUUUCUAUACUGCAGAGUAGAGAAAGUCAAUAAAGUUUAUGUAAACACCUGAUGAAAUUACUCCAUGAGGUGUUGCAGGGAGCUUAUGGAAAAGCUGGGAAUCACAGAAAGAGAUGCUUUUUCAGAAAACAAACAAACAAACAAACAAACAAGUCCUUGAAAGCAAAUAAGAAAAUAAGUUUUCCUUCCUUCCUUCCUUCCUUCCUUCCUUCCUCCCUUCCUUCCUUCCUUCCUUCCUUCCUUCCUUCCUUCCUUCCUUCCUUCCUUCCUUCCUUCCUUCCUUCCUUCCUUCCUUCCUUCCUUCCUUCCUUCCUUCCUUCCUUCUUUCCUUCCUUCCUUCCUUCUUCCCUCCCUCUCUUUCUUUUUCAUAUUUUGUUCUUUGCCCUCCAACCCAUUUAUGGCAGCUGUUUUCUGAUGCCUUAAAAGCAUCAUCUACAACAACAGCAACAGCAACAAUAAUUCUUCCACCCCACCGCCCAAAACAAACCACUUAUGAUUUUAUCCAAGCUACAUACAGCUACAUAAAGCUAUUCUGCAAAGUAUAGCCCUAGUUACCGGGGCUGGGCGUCGUGUCAUUGACCCAGAGGUUCUAAGAAAUCAGAGGCAAGACUUAGGCCAAUCUGUGUCAGGGCUGGGACUUUUAACCCAUGCCCAAGGCUAACUCUCUCUGUGUGACGCCAUGAUGCCUUUUAUCAGUCUCAUACAACAGUAUUCUCAUGGCUGAGGCAGCAUGCCCAUUGGAGUUCCAUUGAGUGCAUGUGAGCUCUGUUAUUCAUCCCCAUGUUUCUAUAUUAAAAGAGCCAAUUGAGUUGCCUGUCUUGGUUUGAUGGUCUUUUUCUUAAUAAGGGGGAACGGAAUAAGCAUUUAUUAAGUACUUACUAUAUGCCAGACACUGUGUUAAGCAACUAACAAAUAUUUAAUCCUCACAACCACGCUGGGAGGUAGGAGAUGUUAUUAUCUCUUUUUAUACAGAGGAGGAAACUGAGGCAGACAGAGGUUAAGUGACUGACCUAGUGUCACAUAGCUAGCAAGUGUCUGAGGUUGGCUGUGAAUGUAGAUAUUUCUGGUUUUUGUUUUUGUUUUCAUUUUUUUUCCCAUUAGGGACUUGUUUUUUUCUUCCAACUGAUCUUUUAAGUGCUUGUGGGGAGAUUUGCUACCUCUUUUAGUUUCAAAUUUAUUCAAUUUGAAUUCAAUAUUCAAUUUAAAAUAUUCAAGUUUAUUUGUUAAGGCAGAGGUUAAGUGACUUGUCCAGGGUCAUAAAGCUAGCAAUUGUCUGAGCUUGGAUUUGAACUCAAGUCUUCUUUCUUCAUCAGGCACCUGAGUAUUUUCUCCUAGAUGCCACAUCUUUUAGUUCAAAUCCAACACGUAUUUUAUUAAGUGCUAUGCUGGUAACUGUAACUGUAACUAUAGAGACACAGGGUGAACAAAGUGUGUUCACAAGUAGCUUCUAAUUGGUUGGGUCUGUGUGUGGAGGAAAGAAUGGGAUAUGUAUGUACCUAAAGAAAAUACCUAGGAUAAAAGGGAAGGCAUCACCAAGAACAAAGGAGAGGUUCAGGUAAAGUGAUAGGAGCAAUCUGAAGGGAAAGAGAUGACUCAGUUGGAAGAGCUUGUGAGAGCUUGGGAAGACUUCAUGGAGAAGGUGGCCCUUGAGUUGAACCUGGGAAAAAGUUGGACCUGGAACUUCACCAGCCAUAGAGUAAGACAGGUAAUAUGGCAUAGUGGAUAAAGUAUGGACCAUAGAGUUUAGAAGUCCUGAG
Long non-coding RNA from Monodelphis domestica (gray short-tailed opossum), 2307 nucleotides. RefSeq lists it as uncharacterized. The record is from RefSeq and is a predicted model, not a curated record. NCBI's taxonomy places the organism in Eukaryota, Metazoa, Chordata, Mammalia, Didelphimorphia, Didelphidae.